This 284-nucleotide long non-coding RNA is filed under the name Rhinopithecus bieti (black snub-nosed monkey). RNAcentral's name for it is "lncRNA (ENSRBIG00000045680.1)". Lineage: Eukaryota; Metazoa; Chordata; Mammalia; Primates; Cercopithecidae. The record is from RNAcentral.
AAAAAGUUAGGUAACAAUUAUCAAUUGAUUGUAUUUUAGGAUUGAAAAAGUAGUUAUUGGUGGCCAUGAAGUCCAUCCCCCAGAAGUAGGAGAUGUUGUAUUUGACAGAAAUAUCAAAAAGGAUCUAGCUGGAGAGGAAAGUGGAAAAGAAGAGAUGGAAGGAAGCUGUUGCUUCAUUUUCUGUUCAUAGAAGGGGAGAGAGAAUAUCAGAGUUUGAUGGGAGCAGCCACAGACAGAAGAAGAAGCAGAAAAAUUAUUUCAGCAUUUUGAAAUAAAUGUCUUUU